Molecule: unclassified non-coding RNA, 365 nt
Filed under: uncultured bacterium
Lineage: Bacteria
Description: contains 16S-23S intergenic spacer region
Source: RNAcentral
UCCGUCUUGUCACCGGCAGUCUCAUUAGAGUGCCCUUGCGUAGCAACUAAUGAUAAGGGUUGCGCUCGUUGCGGGACUUAACCCAACAUUUCACAACACGAGCUGACGACAGCCAUGCACCACCUGUGUAUCGCCCUCGAAGGCGACUACUUUUCGGUAGCUUGCAGAUACAUGUCAAGCCCUGGUAAGGUUCUUCGCGUUGCAUCGAAUUAAGCCAUAUGCUCCACCGCUUGUGCGGGCCCCCGCCAAUUCCUUUGAGUUUUAAGCUUGCGCUCGUAGUUCCCAGGCGGAUCACUUAAUGCGUUAGCUGCGGCACCGAGGCAAAGCCCCAACACCUAGUGAUCAUCGUUUACGGCGUGGACUAC